CAGCACUGGGUUUGACUGCACACAUAUUCUUACAUGUGACGAGCAAAAUGACCCAUUGAGCUUCUCUGAUGACACAAGUUCAGUAGGGACACCUGGGCCAUCCGUUCAGUCAUCCAGGCUGUCGUCUGUAGGCACUUCCCCGCUUGCCUCCCUUACCAGCCCAAGCACCAGCAGAGGCGUGCUCGUGGUAAGGGUAAUACUCAUAAACAUA
Ornithodoros turicata is the source of this 211-nucleotide long non-coding RNA. RefSeq lists it as uncharacterized. The transcript has 3 exons. The record is from RefSeq and is a predicted model, not a curated record. Lineage: Eukaryota; Metazoa; Arthropoda; Arachnida; Ixodida; Argasidae.